RNAcentral lists this ribosomal RNA (484 nucleotides) under uncultured bacterium. RNAcentral's name for it is "partial 16S ribosomal RNA". It matches the Rfam family "Bacterial small subunit ribosomal RNA", at positions 30 to 507 of the family's 1533-position model. The record is from RNAcentral.
AUUGAACGCUGGCGGCAGGCCUAACACAUGCAAGUCGAGCGGAUGAAGGGAGCUUGAUCCUGGAUUCAGCGGCGGACGGGUGAGUAAUGCCUAGGAAUCUGCCUGGUAGUGGGGGAUAACGUCCGGAAACGGGCGCUAAUACCGCAUACGUCCUGAGGGAGAAAGUGGGGGAUCUUCGGACCUCACGCUAUCAGAUGAGCCUAGGUCGGAUUAGCUAGUUGGUGGGGUAAAGGCCUACCAAGGCGACGAUCCGUAACUGGUCUGAGAGGAUGAUCAGUCACACUGGAACUGAGACACGGUCCAGACUCCUACGGGAGGCAGCAGUGGGGAAUAUUGGACAAAGGGCGAAAGCCUGAUCCAGCCAUGCCGCGUGUGUGAAGAAGGUCUUCGGAUUGUAAAGCACUUUAAGUUGGGAGGAAGGGCAGUAAGUUAAUACCUUGCUGUUUUGACGUUACCAACAGAAUAAGCACCGGCUAACUUCGUG